CCCUCUCUCUCUCUCUCUCUCUCUCUCUCUCUCUCUGUCCUAUAUUGGUUCAGGUUGUGGCAUAAGAAGGUGGGGUGUUGAGCAAGAUGGAGAAGCAGGGCACGUGCGUUACUAACUCAUGUCCACAUAUUAGUGACCCCAUUUUGCCUACACUUAGCAGUCGCUAAAGAGAUUUUGCGACAAUUUUUCACAAUUGGCCAAUGCAAAAAGUUUUUUUUUUUUUUUUUUUUUUUUUUUUUUUUUUUUUUUUUUAAAGUACUAUAAGGCAUAUAUCUUCAUCACUUCCAGCAGUUAUGGGUUGUCAACUAAUAUGCUUUUAGUACACCAUAAUGAGUUAGUACUUCAUGUGCCCCUCUUCCCCAUCAUGACCACUCGACCUUAAUCACCAUUCGAUAGCAAAUUAUUAGUUCGUUGGUUAUCGUUGUUGAAUCAUUCAAAGCAGUUCAUAUAUUCCGGCAAAGCUUCAUUUUCAGAAGAAGAGAAAGAAGAAGAAGAGGAAGGAUGAGGAAGAGAGAAGAGGAGCUGAGAGAAUGAGAGAACAAACAGAACAGAACAUCAUCAUCAUCUUCAUCUUCAUCUGUACAACAACAUCAUCUUCAUCAACAACACCCAUAGGGAUGGCAAUUUAAACCUGGCCCGACGGGGACCCGCCUCCCCGACCCUGAUUCGAGCGAUUUUUUCUCAAAAAAUACCCCUGAGGGGCCGGGGAUGGUAUUUAAAAAUGAAUCCCCGAUCACUUUCGGGCAGGGAACGGUGAUACGUUUUCCAGCCCCGUCCCCGGCCCGACCCCCGCCUCGCUUCUCCCCCCGAAAUAAAAUUACUACUUUACCCCUAUGUAUAUAUAUAUAUACAUAUAUAUGCGUGUCUUGAUCUUGGCAGAGCCACUUCGCUGCUGCGUGAGAAAAAGGGAGUGAGAGGAAGGGAAUGAAGGAAGGAGGGAGAAAGAGAGAGCCGAUCCUCCACCGUCGCCGAUCUCCUCCGCCGAGAGAAGAGAGCCGUCCUCUUGACAAUGCCGAUCUUCUCUACCUACUCCUUUGACGAUCUGCUCCGUUGCCCUUCUCCGCCGACUCCUUCGCCGAUCUCCUCUUCACAGCGUCGUCGAUCUCUAUCCCUCUCUCUUUCUCUGUGUUAUACACACACAUAUAUAUGUAUACAUAUUACAGAUUGAAGCUUAGAUCUUGAGAUCUAUGAUGAAUUGAUGAUGAUAAUGUUGUUGAUUUUUUUUUU
Long non-coding RNA from Camellia sinensis, 1227 nucleotides. RefSeq lists it as uncharacterized. NCBI's taxonomy places the organism in Eukaryota, Viridiplantae, Streptophyta, Magnoliopsida, Ericales, Theaceae. The record is from RefSeq and is a predicted model, not a curated record.